Molecule: long non-coding RNA, 967 nt
Organism: Cavia porcellus (domestic guinea pig)
Lineage: Eukaryota; Metazoa; Chordata; Mammalia; Rodentia; Caviidae
Exons: 3
Source: RefSeq, a predicted model, not a curated record
GCAGGUCCCCGUGGAAGCCGUGCAGGGGCCCUGAUAUCCAGCUGAGCAAGUAAUUCCUGAUUAGGACAGCAUCCAUGGCCAGGCCCCAGGGCGACAGAGCUGGAAGAGGGUUUUCAAGGUGACUGACUCCUGGGACACACCCAGUUCGAGUCCCCAGCCGAUUCACGAACUGGAUUACAUCCUGGAUUAAUUCUCCACUUUUCAUCUCCCAGGACCUGCUUAAUUUGUUGCCAAUCGCUUGCACACAACACCAGCCCGAUUAAUCUCAGUCUAACAUAUGUGCAUUCACCAGUGAAGUUGUCCUGGCUAAAACAUCUGGCACCAGCAUCUACCUGGGCAUCAACUGUCAUCCUGUGGACUCCCCUAGACCCCAGUACAGCACCUUCUGCCAGCAGGAAGCAGUUAAAGAGAGAAAUCUUCACCCCUUUUUAUAAUAAUAAUCAUAAAAUGGGAUAUGAAAGAAUUUUGGCCCAGACAGGACACUGUAGCCAGUGAAGCCUUAGAGGCGGAACCAAGGAGCUCCUAUCUCCCCUAGGAAUUUACCUGUGACUCCAUCUUCCCCGCCCCUAGGAAUUUACCUAUGGUGCCAAACAAAGACCAAUGGGCUACCCGUGCAUCCCUAAUGCCCCCUUAGGUUCUACCCCAAACUGAGGCUAUUUAAAUACCCCCAUCACCACAUGUCCACCAGAGAGAAAGCCAGACUCCAGUGGUUGGGGAGUGUUUUAGUUUUUCUCUCUCUGCGUUCUCAGAAUAAAGGCCUCUUUUGUUUUAUACUUCUCAUUUUUUGGAUAUAAUCUUAUCAUAUAGGCCAAUCUCCCUAGUGAACAUAGAUGUAAAAAUUGUCAAUAAGAUAUUGGCAAACAGAAUAUGGAAAAUUAUCAAGAAGAUUAAACACCAUGACCAAGUAGGAUUCAUCCCAAAAAUGCAGGGAUGGUUCAAUGUAUGUAAAUCAAUAAAUGCGAUACAC